AUUGAACGCUGGCGGCGUGCCUAACACAUGCAAGUCGAGCGGUAACAGGUGUAGCAAUACAUGCUGACGAGCGGCGGACGGGUGAGUAACGCUUGGGAAUCUGCCUGUUAGUGGGGGACAACCCGGGGAAACUCGGGCUAAUACCGCAUACGCACUACGGUGGAAAGCCCGGGGACCGCAAGGCCUGGCGCUAACAGAUGAGCCCAAGUCGGAUUAGCUAGUUGGUAGGGUAACGGCCACCAAGGCGACGAUCCGUAACUGGUCUGAGAGGACGACCAGUCACACCGGAACUGAGACACGGUCCGGACUCCUACGGGAGGCAGCAGGUGGGGAAUAUUGGACAAUGGGACGAAAGCCUGAUCCAGCGACGCCGCGUGGGUGAAGAA
RNAcentral lists this ribosomal RNA (386 nucleotides) under uncultured bacterium. Its description in RNAcentral is "bacterial SSU rRNA". It matches the Rfam family "Bacterial small subunit ribosomal RNA", at positions 29 to 412 of the family's 1533-position model. The record is from RNAcentral.